RNAcentral lists this ribosomal RNA (504 nucleotides) under uncultured bacterium. RNAcentral describes it as "partial 16S ribosomal RNA". It matches the Rfam family "Bacterial small subunit ribosomal RNA", at positions 28 to 523 of the family's 1533-position model. The record is from RNAcentral.
GAUGAACGCUAGCGGCAGGCUUAAUACAUGCAAGUCGAGGGGCAGCAGCUUUAUAGCAAUAUAGAGGCUGGUGACCGGCAAACGGGUGCGGAACACGUACACAACCUUCCUUUAAGAGGGGGAUAGCCCAUAGAAAUGUGGAUUAAUACCCCGUAACAUAUCGGUGUGGCAUCACACUGUUAGUAUAGUUUAGACGCUUGAAGAUGGGUGUGCGGCUGAUUAGGUAGUUGGCGGGGUAAAGGCCCACCAAGCCUUCGAUCAGUAGCUGAUGUGAGAGCAUGAUCAGCCACACGGGCACUGAGACACGGGCCCGACUCCUACGGGAGGCAGCAGUAAGGAAUAUUGGUCAAUGGACGCAAGUCUGAACCAGCCAUGCCGCGUGAAGGAUGAAGGUCCUCUGGAUUGUAAACUUCUUUUAUAGGGGGCGAAAAAAGGGAAUUCUUUCUCACUUGACAGUACCCUAUGAAUAAGCACCGGCUAACUCCGUGCCAGCCGCCGCCGUAA